GCAGAAACGUAGCAACGGCACCAGGGAAGCUUCGCAGCAACGCAACAAUGGCAGAUGGCAGGCACGGAGGAAGAAGAAACGAAGACAAGAAGAAAGAAGGCAGAAAGGAGUGAAAGAAAAAACAAGGGACAUCGCGUUUUCUUUUUAAAUUUUAACUUAAGGGCAAUUUUGCCAUUUCAUAAAAUUGCUAGGUGCACCAGCAACUGGGUGCACCUAGCAUGUCCCGUGUUGCUUCUACUUUUCUACGGAUCCUUGGCAAAAUCCUUCAAAAUGUUACUUUGUGCACCCUCGUAUAGAAGUCCUUCAACCUUGAUGGUGACACUAACUCACACCGAAACCAAUGGGCAAAAUCAAUGUAGAGACCUUUAAUUUGUUUUUUAGAGAACAAAUUCAAAUAUCUAGAUAAAGCUCUUCUGAUACCAAUGGAGCAAGACCCAAACUAUAAAUCAUGGAAAAAGGUUUAAUAACAUUAACUAUCUCAUUCAUGGAUUAUGAACUCAAUAUCACCUUCAGUCCUUCACUAAUCACUAGUCACUAACACGUACAGAGCGUGGUAUAUGUGGAGAAACGUGUGUGAAUAGUCACACAUGAUUAUGUGAUUAGUCAUGUGGGUUUUUUCAAUAGAAAAUAAAUUAUGCACAAAUACUUGGUUAGUUUUGGUAGUUGGGACUUAAUUGGACUUUAAGAAUGUGGUCAGAAAAAUCAUUAUUGGAAGAAGACAAUCCACCUAUGAGUGUCAACAGAUUCUUUGAAAGAAGUUUAGAAAUUCCAAUGAUCAAAUAUUCCUUUAUACU
Molecule: long non-coding RNA, 794 nt
Filed under: Glycine max (soybean)
Lineage: Eukaryota; Viridiplantae; Streptophyta; Magnoliopsida; Fabales; Fabaceae
Description: long non-coding RNA (GMAX_LNC000416)
Source: RNAcentral